AAUAGAUACCCAGGUAGUCCACGCCGUAAACGAUGAGUGCUAAGUGUUAGAGGGUUUCCGCCCUUUAGUGCUGCAGCUAACGCAUUAAGCACUCCGCCUGGGGAGUACGGCCGCAAGGCUGAAACUCAAAGGAAUUGACGGGGGCCCGCACAAGCGGUGGAGCAUGUGGUUUAAUUCGAAGCAACGCGAAGAACCUUACCAGGUCUUGACAUCCUCUGCCAACCCUAGAGAUAGGGCGUUCCCCUUCGGGGGACAGAGUGACAGGUGGUGCAUGGUUGUCGUCAGCUCGUGUCGUGAGAUGUUGGGUUAAGUCCCGCAACGAGCGCAACCCUUGAUCUUAGUUGCCAGCAUUCAGUUGGGCACUCUAAGGUGACUGCCGGUGACAAACCGGAGGAAGGUGGGGAGUGACGUCAAAUCAUCAUGCCCCUUAUGACCUGGGCUACACACGUGCUACAAUGGAUGGUACAAAGAGCUGCGAACCCGCGAGGGUAAGCGAAUCUCAUAAAGCCAUUCUCAGUUCGGAUUGUAGG
Molecule: ribosomal RNA, 530 nt
Filed under: uncultured bacterium
Lineage: Bacteria
Description: bacterial SSU rRNA
Rfam family: Bacterial small subunit ribosomal RNA
Source: RNAcentral